GACGAAGGGGGCUAGCGUUGUUCGGAAUUACUGGGCGUAAAGCGCGUGUAGGCGGUUGUUCAAGUCAGGUGUGAAAGCCUUGAGCUCAACUCAAGAAAUGCACUUGAUACUGGAUGACUAGAGGACCGGAGAGGAUAGUGGAAUUCCCAGUGUAGUGGUGAAAUACGUAGAGAUUGGGAAGAACACCAGUGGCGAAGGCGGCUAUCUGGACAAUUGCUGACGCUCAGGCACGAAAGCGUGGGGAGCAAAAGGG
Molecule: ribosomal RNA, 253 nt
Filed under: uncultured bacterium
Lineage: Bacteria
Description: partial 16S ribosomal RNA
Rfam family: Bacterial small subunit ribosomal RNA
Source: RNAcentral